Erinaceus europaeus (western European hedgehog) is the source of this 1217-nucleotide long non-coding RNA. RefSeq lists it as uncharacterized. The transcript is spliced from 5 exons. The record is from RefSeq and is a predicted model, not a curated record. Lineage: Eukaryota; Metazoa; Chordata; Mammalia; Eulipotyphla; Erinaceidae.
AGCACAAGCACCAUCUUAAUUUCCUAUCUAUCAAACCACUCAAAGUAGGAGGCCCUCUGUACAAGCGCUUUCAUUAGUUUUAGAGGUGUUUUCUACUCCUCAUGUGGUAUGCGUCCUCCAGGCUCCUAAUCCAGACUUCAGCUGGGAAUGAGGUCCUGAUGAAGUUGGAGUUCAGAGCCUUCUCAUGAUGUUCUCCCUAUCAUUUCUCCCCCACUGGGAGUCUGGAUCAAAAUUCUUUCUGGGGAGCAGAAGUUUUCUGGCAGACCGGCAGCUGGAAGCUUUCAACCCAGGGGCAGGAGAGAGACUAGUUAUUUUUUAAAACGUGGACUAAAAUGCAUACUACAAUAUCCUGUUAACAAAAGGCACUGCAGCCACUGAUUCCAGCAUGGGCUUCAGUUUCCCGUUGACCUUCACCAGCGCCUAGAACAAAGCAAGAGGAAAAACAAUAGAACGGAGAGGGGACUCAGAAUCACAUGAUUUUCCAGCAUUCACAUAUGAGUGAGGCAUCUGUAAGAGGAUGAUUCUUUUGGCAAACAUGAGCUAGUUACAGGAAGCCAAUAUACAUUUAGUGCCAUUUCGUUAUAAUAGGGUUUGUGCAGAGAAAUAAAUAAAUAAAUGACAAGGUAACUGUGUGCUACUCCAGGGACUACCAGUCACACAGAUUAUCAUCCUGUUUUAAAUUGACAUCAAGUAGGACAGAAAAUAAAAUAUUCCAGCUCACGAAUGCUUACUAGUAUGUGUAUUAAUCUUUCACAGAAAUAAAUCUACCACUGUGCUUCACCAUGAAGCUGUGUGGACUUAUCUGGAUUAAAUAAGGUCUGGAAAAAUCCUCAAAAAAAAAAAAACUGCUCAUUUAAAAAUAUUAACUUAUUUAUUGGAUAAAGACAGAGAAAUUGAGAAUGAAAGGGGAGCUAGAGAGGAGGAAAGGGAGGAAGGGACUGGGCAGGAGCACAGCUGGUUAAACGCACAUAUCAUGAAGAGCAAAGACCCUGGUUUGGGUUUGAGCACCCGCCCAGUCCCUACCUGCAGGGGGAGACUUCACUGGUGGAGAAGCAAGUCUGCAGAUGUCUCUUUUUCUCUCUCCCGCUCUGUCUGCUUUCCCCUCUCAAUUUCUCUCUGUCGUAUCAAGGGGAAGGGGGAAAAAAAAAAAGAAAAAAGAGAUGCCUGGAGCAGUGGAUUCAUAGUGCUGGCAUCAGGCCUUAGCUAUAAUGCUGGUG